AGUGAACGCUGGCGGUAGGCCUAACACAUGCAAGUCGAACGGCAGCACAGUAAGAGCUUGCUCUUACGGGUGGCGAGUGGCGGACGGGUGAGGAAUACAUCGGAAUCUACUUUUUCGUGGGGGAUAACGUAGGGAAACUUACGCUAAUACCGCAUACGACCUACGGGUGAAAGCAUGGGAUCUUCGGACCUUGCGCGAUUGAAUGAGCCGAUGUCGGAUUAGCUAGUUGGCGGGGUAAAGGCCCACCAAGGCGACGAUCCGUAGCUGGUCUGAGAGGAUGGUAGACCACACUGGAACUGGGACACGGUCCAGGCUCCUAAGGGACGCAGCAGUGGGGAAUAUUGGGCAAUGGGCGCAAACCUGAUCCAACCAUACCGCGUGGGUGAAAGAAGCCUUCGGGUUGUGAAGCCCUUUUGUUGGGAAAAAAAAGCAGCAGGUUGAUACCCCGCUGGUCUGACGGUACCCAAAAAAUAAGCACCGGCUAACUUCGUG
Molecule: ribosomal RNA, 492 nt
Filed under: uncultured bacterium
Lineage: Bacteria
Description: partial 16S ribosomal RNA
Rfam family: Bacterial small subunit ribosomal RNA
Source: RNAcentral